This 253-nucleotide ribosomal RNA is filed under the name uncultured bacterium. RNAcentral's name for it is "partial 16S ribosomal RNA". It matches the Rfam family "Bacterial small subunit ribosomal RNA", at positions 524 to 776 of the family's 1533-position model. The record is from RNAcentral.
UACGUAGGUGGCAAGCGUUGUCCGGAAUUAUUGGGCGUAAAGCGCGCGCAGGCGGUCCUUUAAGUCUGAUGUGAAAGCCCACGGCUCAACCGUGGAGGGUCAUUGGAAACUGGAGGACUUGAGUACAGAAGAGGAAAGCGGAAUUCCACGUGUAGCGGUGAAAUGCGUAGAGAUGUGGAGGAACACCAGUGGCGAAGGCGGCUUUCUGGUCUGUAACUGACGCUGAGGCGCGAAAGCUAGGGGAGCAAACAGG